GACGAACGCUGGCGGCGUGCUUAACACAUGCAAGUCGAACGGAAAGGCCCUGCUUUUGUGGGGUGCUCGAGUGGCGAACGGGUGAGUAACACGUGAGUAACCUGCCCUUGACUUUGGGAUAACUUCAGGAAACUGGGGCUAAUACCGGAUAGGAGCUCCUGCUGCAUGGUGGGGGUUGGAAAGUUUCGGCGGUUGGGGAUGGACUCGCGGCUUAUCAGCUUGUUGGUGGGGUAGUGGCUUACCAAGGCUUUGACGGGUAGCCGGCCUGAGAGGGUGACCGGCCACAUUGGGACUGAGAUACGGCCCAGACUCCUACGGGAGGCAGCAGUGGGGAAUAUUGCACAAUGGGCGGAAGCCUGAUGCAGCAACGCCGCGUGCGGGAUGACGGCCUUCGGGUUGUAAACCGCUUUCGCCUGUGACGAAGCGUGAGUGACGGUAAUGGGUAAAGAAGCACCGGCUAACUACGUGCCAGCAGCCGCGGUGAUACGUAGGGUGCGAGCGUUGUCCGGAUUUAUUGGGCGUAAAAGGCUCGUAGGUGGUUGAUCGCGUCGGAAGUGUAAUCUUGGGGCUUAACCCUGAGCGUGCUUUCGAUACGGGUUGACUUGAGGAAGGUAGGGGAGAAUGGAAUUCCUGGUGGAGCGGUGGAAUGCGCAGAUAUCAGGAGGAACACCAGUGGCGAAGGCGGUUCUCUGGGCCUUUCCUGACGCUGAGGAGCGAAAGCGUGGGGAGCGAACAGGCUUAGAUACCCUGGUAGUCCACGCUGUAAACGGUGGGUACUAGGUGUGGGGUCCAUUCCACGGGUUCCGUGCCGUAGCUAACGCUUUAAGUACCCCGCCUGGGGAGUACGGCCGCAAGGCUAAAACUCAAAGGAAUUGACGGGGCCCCGCACAAGCGGCGGAGCAUGCGGAUUAAUUCGAUGCAACGCGUAGAACCUUACCUGGGUUUGACAUGGGUCGGGAGUGCUCAGAGAUGGGUGUGCCUCUUUUGGGGUCGGUUCACAGGUGGUGCAUGCCUGUCGUCAGCUCGUGUCGUGAGAUGUUGGGUUAAGUCCCGCAACAAGCGCAACCCUUGUUCACUGUUGCCAGCACGUUAUGGUGGGGACUCAGUGGAGACCGCCGGGGUCAACUCGGAGGAAGGUGGGGAUGACGUCAAGUCCUCAUGCCCCUUAUGUCCAGGGCUUCACGCAUGCUACAAUGGCUGGUACAGAGAGUGGCGAGCCUGUGAGGGUGAGCGAAUCUCGGAAAGCCGGUCUCAGUUCGGAUUGGGGUCUGCAACUCGACCUCAUGAAGUCGGAGUCGCUAGUAAUCGCAGAUCAGCAACGCUGCGGUGAAUACGUUCCCGGG
This 1343-nucleotide ribosomal RNA is filed under the name uncultured bacterium. RNAcentral's name for it is "16S ribosomal RNA". It matches the Rfam family "Bacterial small subunit ribosomal RNA", at positions 28 to 1378 of the family's 1533-position model. The record is from RNAcentral.